This 301-nucleotide ribosomal RNA is filed under the name uncultured bacterium. RNAcentral's name for it is "partial 16S ribosomal RNA". It matches the Rfam family "Bacterial small subunit ribosomal RNA", at positions 509 to 807 of the family's 1533-position model. The record is from RNAcentral.
CAGUCGCCGCGGUAAGACGAACCGUGCGAACGUUAUUCGGGAUCACUGGGCUUAAAGCGCGUGUAGGCGGGCCGCCGCGUCGGCUGCUGAAAUCCCCCGGCUCAACCGGGGAACGGGCACCGAUACGGGCGGCCUCGAGGGGGGUAGGGGGGCCUGGAACUUCCGGUGGAGCGGUGAAGUGCGUUGAGAUCGGAAGGAACGCCCGUGGCGAAAGCGAGGCCCUGGACCCUUUCUGACGCUGAGACGCGAAAGCCAGGGGAGCGAACGGGAUUAGAUACCCCUGUAGUCCCUGUCUCUUAUA